CACGUAGGGGGCGAGCGUUGUCCGGAUUUAUUGGGCGUAAAGAGCUCGUAGGCGGUUUCGUUAGUCGGGUGUGAAAACCCCAGGCUCAACCUGGGGACGCCACCCGAUACUGCGAUGACUAGAGUCCGGUAGGGGAGUGUGGAAUUCCUGGUGUAGCGGUGAAAUGCGCAGAUAUCAGGAGGAACACCGGUGGCGAAGGCGGGUCUCUGGGCCGUAACUGACGCUGAGGAGCGAAAGCGUGGGGAGCGAACAGG
Molecule: ribosomal RNA, 254 nt
Filed under: uncultured bacterium
Lineage: Bacteria
Description: partial 16S ribosomal RNA
Rfam family: Bacterial small subunit ribosomal RNA
Source: RNAcentral